This 400-nucleotide ribosomal RNA is filed under the name uncultured eukaryote. RNAcentral describes it as "SSU rRNA". It matches the Rfam family "Eukaryotic small subunit ribosomal RNA", at positions 567 to 988 of the family's 1831-position model. The record is from RNAcentral.
CCAGCAGCUGCGGUAAUUCCAGCUCCAAUGGUGUAUAUUAAUGCUGUUGCGGUUAAAAAGCUCGUAGUUGGAUUUGUGUUGCGAUUGUCGCCGGGGCAGGGCAAGACCCUGUGUUUUCCGGCGGAGCAACUUCUGAGGGUGUCGCAGGUUGCGGCACGCUCACUUACUUUGAACAAAUUAGAGUGUUCAUAGCAGGCUGUUACGCCUUGCAUAGAUUAGCAUGGAAUAACGUACAAGACGCUGGGUCCGGUCCGUUGUCUCGACGGGGCCAGAGUAAUGAUGGAUAGGGACAGACGGGGGCAUGAGUAUUGCGUCGUCAGAGGUGAAAUUCUUAGAUUGGCGCAAGACUAGCGGAUGCGAAAGCCAUUGCCAAGCAUGUUUUCAUUGAUCAAGAACGAAA